Molecule: ribosomal RNA, 493 nt
Filed under: uncultured bacterium
Lineage: Bacteria
Description: partial 16S ribosomal RNA
Rfam family: Bacterial small subunit ribosomal RNA
Source: RNAcentral
AUUGAACGCUGGCGGCAUGCCUUACACAUGCAAGUCGAACGGUAACAGGUUAAGCUGACGAGUGGCGAACGGGUGAGUAAUAUAUCGGAACGUGCCCAGUCGUGGGGGAUAACGUAGCGAAAGUUACGCUAAUACCGCAUACGAUCUAAGGAUGAAAGCUGGGGAUCGCAAGACCUCGCGCGAUUGGAGCGGCCGAUAUCAGAUUAGGUAGUUGGUGGGGUAAAGGCUCACCAAGCCAACGAUCUGUAGCUGGUCUGAGAGGACGACCAGCCACACUGGAACUGAGACACGGUCCAGACUCCUACGGGAGGCAGCAGUGGGGAAUUUUGGACAAUGGACGCAAGUCUGAUCCAGCCAUUCCGCGUGCAGGAUGAAGGCCCUCGGGUUGUAAACUGCUUUUGUACGGAACGAAAAGGUCUCUCUUAAUACGGGGGGCUCAUGACGGUACUGUAAGAAUAAGCACCGGCUAACUACGUGCCAGCCGCCGCGGUAA